RNAcentral lists this ribosomal RNA (253 nucleotides) under uncultured bacterium. Its description in RNAcentral is "partial 16S ribosomal RNA". It matches the Rfam family "Bacterial small subunit ribosomal RNA", at positions 524 to 776 of the family's 1533-position model. The record is from RNAcentral.
UACGUAGGGUGCAAGCGUUAAUCGGAAUUACUGGGCAUAAAGCGUGCGCAGGCGGUUUUGUAAGUCUGACGUGAAAUCCCCGGGCUCAACCUGGGAAUUGCGUUGGAGACUGCAAGGCUAGAAUCUGGCAGAGGGGGGUAGAAUUCCACGUGUAGCAGUGAAAUGCGUAGAGAUGUGGAGGAACACCGAUGGCGAAGGCAGCCCCCUGGGUCAAGAUUGACGCUCAUGCACGAAAGCGUGGGGAGCAAACAGG